UACGUAGGGGGCGAGCGUUGUCCGGAUUUAUUGGGCGUAAAGAGCGUGUAGGCGGCCAGGUAGGUCUGCUGUGAAAACUCGAGGCUCAACCUCGAGACGUCGGCGGAAACCAUCUGGCUAGAGUCCGGAAGAGGAGAGUGGAAUUCCUGGUGUAGCGGUGAAAUGCGCAGAUAUCAGGAAGAACACCCGGGGCGAAGGCGGCUCUCUGGGACGGUACUGACGCUGAGACGCGAAAGCGUGGGGAGCGAACAGG
Molecule: ribosomal RNA, 253 nt
Filed under: uncultured bacterium
Lineage: Bacteria
Description: partial 16S ribosomal RNA
Rfam family: Bacterial small subunit ribosomal RNA
Source: RNAcentral